RNAcentral lists this non-coding RNA (25 nucleotides) under Mus musculus (house mouse). Lineage: Eukaryota; Metazoa; Chordata; Mammalia; Rodentia; Muridae. The record is from RNAcentral.
UGCAAACAAGCAUGGCUGCCUCACU